This 253-nucleotide ribosomal RNA is filed under the name uncultured bacterium. RNAcentral describes it as "partial 16S ribosomal RNA". It matches the Rfam family "Bacterial small subunit ribosomal RNA", at positions 524 to 776 of the family's 1533-position model. The record is from RNAcentral.
UACGGAGGGUGCAAACGUUGCUCGGAAUCAUUGGGCGUAAAGCGCACGUAGGCGGUCUGUUAAGUCGGAUGUGAAAGCCCUCGGCUCAACCGAGGAAGUGCAUACGAAACUGGCGGACUUGAAUAUGGAAGAGGGUCGCGGAAUUCCCGGUGUAGAGGUGAAAUUCGUAGAUAUUCGCAAGAACACCAGUGGCGAAGGCGGCUCACUGGCCCGGUACUGACGCUGAGGUGCGAAAGCGUGGGGAGCAAACAGG